CCUACGGGAGGCAGCAGUGAGGAAUAUUGGUCAAUGGGCGAGAGCCUGAACCAGCCAAGCCGCGUGAGGGAGUACUGACCUAUGGGUUGUAAACCUCUUUUGUCGGGGAGCAAAAGCAGGACGUGUCCGGCUGUGAGAGUACCCGACGAAAAAGCAUCGGCUAACUCCGUGCAAGCAGCCGCGGUAAUACGGAGGAUGCGAGCGUUAUCCGGAUUUAUUGGGUUAAAGGGGUGCGCAGGCGGAUGGUUAAGUCAGCGGUAAAAUCGUGGGGCUCAACCCCAUCCAGCCGUUGAAACUGGGGAUCUAGAGUGUGCGAGAGGUAUGCGGAAUUCGUGGUGUAGCGGUGAAAUGCAUAGAUAUCACGCAGAACCCCGAUUGCGAAGGCAGCAUACCGGUGCACAACUGACGUUCAGGCACGAAAGCGUGGGUAGCGAACAGGAUUAGAUACCCUUGUAGUC
RNAcentral lists this ribosomal RNA (458 nucleotides) under uncultured bacterium. Its description in RNAcentral is "partial 16S ribosomal RNA". It matches the Rfam family "Bacterial small subunit ribosomal RNA", at positions 338 to 795 of the family's 1533-position model. The record is from RNAcentral.